UACAGAGGGUGCAAGCGUUAAUCGGAAUUACUGGGCGUAAAGCGCGCGUAGGUGGUUUGUUAAGUUGAAUGUGAAAUCCCCGGGCUCAACCUGGGAACUGCAUGCAAAACUGGCAAGCUAGAGUAUGGUAGAGGGUGGUGGAAUUUCCUGUGUAGCGGUGAAAUGCGUAGAUAUAGGAAGGAACACCAGUGGCGAAGGCGACCACCUGGACUGAAUACUGACACUGAGGUGCGAAAGCGUGGGGAGCAAACAGG
RNAcentral lists this ribosomal RNA (254 nucleotides) under uncultured bacterium. Its description in RNAcentral is "partial 16S ribosomal RNA". It matches the Rfam family "Bacterial small subunit ribosomal RNA", at positions 524 to 776 of the family's 1533-position model. The record is from RNAcentral.